UGGGGAAUUUUGGGCAAUGGGCGAAAGCCUGAUCCAGCAAUGCCGCGUGUGUGAAGAAGGCCUUCGGGUUGUAAAGCACUUUUGUCCGGAAAGAAAUCCUUGGCUCUAAUACAGUCGGGGGAUGACGGUACCGGAAGAAUAAGCACCGGCUAACUACGUGCCAGCAGCCGCGGUAAUACGUAGGGUGCAAGCGUUAAUCGGAAUUACUGGGCGUAAAGCGUGCGCAGGCGGUUUGCUAAGACCGAUGUGAAAUCCCCGGGCUCAACCUGGGAACUGCAUUGGUGACUGGCAGGCUAGAGUAUGGCAGAGGGGGGUAGAAUUCCACGUGUAGCAGUGAAAUGCGUAGAGAUGUGGAGGAAUACCGAUGGCGAAGGCAGCCCCCUGGGCCAAUACUGACGCUCAUGCACGAAAGCGUGGGGAGCAAAACAGGAUUAGAUACCCUGGUAGUCCACGCCCUAAACGAUGUCAACUAGUUGUUGGGGAUUCAUUUCCUUAGUAACGUAGCUAACGCGUGAAGUUGACCGCCCGGGGAGUACGGUCGC
RNAcentral lists this ribosomal RNA (542 nucleotides) under uncultured bacterium. RNAcentral describes it as "partial 16S ribosomal RNA". It matches the Rfam family "Bacterial small subunit ribosomal RNA", at positions 355 to 889 of the family's 1533-position model. The record is from RNAcentral.